UGGGGAAUAUUGCGCAAUGGGGGAAACCCUGACGCAGCGACGCCGCGUGCGGGAUGAAGGCCUUCGGGUUGUAAACCGCUUUUGAUUGGGAGCAAGCUUUCGGGUGAGUGUACCUUUCGAAUAAGCGCCGGCUAACUACGUGCCAGCAGCCGCGGUAAUACGUAAGGUCCGAGCGUUGUCCGGAAUCAUUGGGCGUAAAGGGUACGUAGGCGGGUAAGCAAGUUAGAAGUGAAAUCCUGUAGCUCAACUACAGUAAGCUUUUAAAACUGCUCAUCUUGAGAUAUGGAAGGGAAAGUGGAAUUCCUAGUGUAGCGGUGAAAUGCGCAGAUAUUAGGAGGAAUACCGGUGGCGAAGGCGACUUUCUGGCCAUAAUCUGACGCUGAGGUACGAAAGCGUGGGUAGCAAACAGG
RNAcentral lists this ribosomal RNA (410 nucleotides) under Bacteroidota bacterium. RNAcentral's name for it is "Bacteroidetes bacterium partial 16S ribosomal RNA". It matches the Rfam family "Bacterial small subunit ribosomal RNA", at positions 355 to 776 of the family's 1533-position model. RNAcentral also lists the same sequence under 1 other name. The record is from RNAcentral. Lineage: Bacteria; Pseudomonadati; Bacteroidota.